RNAcentral lists this ribosomal RNA (447 nucleotides) under uncultured Desulfobulbus sp. RNAcentral describes it as "bacterial SSU rRNA". It matches the Rfam family "Bacterial small subunit ribosomal RNA", at positions 940 to 1382 of the family's 1533-position model. The record is from RNAcentral. Lineage: Bacteria; Pseudomonadati; Thermodesulfobacteriota; Desulfobulbia; Desulfobulbales; Desulfobulbaceae.
UGUGGUUAAUUCGAUGCAACGCGAAGAACCUUACCUGGUCUUGACAUCCCGGAGACCCUUAGGAAACUAGGGGGUGCUUCCAUCUGGAAGAAUCUGGAGACAGGUGCUGCAUGGCUGUCGUCAGCUCGUGUCGUGAGGUGUUGGGUUAAGUCCCGCAACGAGCGCAACCCUUGCCUUUAGUUGCCAGCAGUUCGGCUGGGCACUCUAAAGGGACUGCCGGUGUUAAACCGGAGGAAGGUGGGGAUGACGUCAAGUCCUCAUGGCCUUUAUGACCAGGGCUACACACGUACUACAAUGGCCGAUACAAAGGGCAGCGACACUGCGAGGUGAAGCCAAUCCCGUAAAAUCGGUCUCAGUCCGGAUUGGAGUCUGCAACUCGACUCCAUGAAGUUGGAAUCGCUAGUAAUCGUGGAUCAGCAUGCCACGGUGAAUACGUUCCCGGGCCUU